This 253-nucleotide ribosomal RNA is filed under the name uncultured bacterium. RNAcentral's name for it is "partial 16S ribosomal RNA". It matches the Rfam family "Bacterial small subunit ribosomal RNA", at positions 524 to 776 of the family's 1533-position model. The record is from RNAcentral.
GACGAACCGAGCGAACGUUGUUCGGAAUCACCGGGCGUAAAGGGCGCGUAGGCGGCCGAUCAAGUCGGGGGUGAAAGCCUGUGGCUUAACCACAGAAUGGCCUUCGAUACUGUUUGGCUUGAGACCGGAAGAGGUUAGUGGAACUGCGAGUGUAGAGGUGAAAUUCGUAGAUAUUCGCAAGAGCACCAGUGGCGAAGGCGGCUGACUGGUCCGGUUCUGACGCUGAGGCGCGAAAGCGUGGGGAGCAAACAGG